UCGGAACGUGCCCAAUCUGGGGGAUAACGCAGCGAAAGCUGUGCUAAUACCGCAUACGAUCUACGGAUGAAAGCAGGGGAUCGCAAGACCUUGCGCGAAUGGAGCGGCCGAUGGCAGAUUAGGUAGUUGGUGAGGUAAAGUCUCACCAAGCCUUCGAUCUGUAGCUGGUCUGAGAGGACGACCAGCCACACUGGGACUGAGACACGGCCCAGACUCCUACGGGAGGCAGCAGAU
This 234-nucleotide ribosomal RNA is filed under the name uncultured Variovorax sp. RNAcentral's name for it is "partial 16S ribosomal RNA". It matches the Rfam family "Bacterial small subunit ribosomal RNA", at positions 118 to 354 of the family's 1533-position model. The record is from RNAcentral. Lineage: Bacteria; Pseudomonadati; Pseudomonadota; Betaproteobacteria; Burkholderiales; Comamonadaceae.